AAUCAUUAACGGGAAUGGAUGUUGGGUUUGAUCAAGCACAAGUUCCUUUGGGUGACAUAACAAAUAAUUAUGAUGCUCACAUGAAUUUUCUUGGUAUGUGAUUUUGAUGUUGCCAAUGCUAUGGAUGUUGUAAAAAGAGAAGAGGAGAUAGGCCUUUGUUAAUGCCGCCAAUGUUACAUUUUUCUUUUGUUAAGAUUGUCCUUGUUGUAAAAGAGA
Quercus lobata is the source of this 216-nucleotide long non-coding RNA. RefSeq lists it as uncharacterized. Lineage: Eukaryota; Viridiplantae; Streptophyta; Magnoliopsida; Fagales; Fagaceae. The record is from RefSeq and is a predicted model, not a curated record. The transcript has 3 exons.